UUUAAAUUGGGUUGUUUAUUUGAUUACUUACAUAUGGAUUUAUGUGCUUGUCAUUGAGCACCUAAGUAUUAAAUGUUUGGCCUCAGGUAGGUUGUGAUUUCUCUUCUAUUUAUCUUGAUUAGUGGAUGUUUGUUGCAAAUCCCUUACAGGAAAGUGAAGAAAACCUUCAUUCUCCACACUGGUGAAAAAGAAAUAUUUGAAUUAACAGCUUGACGAUUAAAGAGUUUUAUUAGUUUUAAAGGUGAAACAGGACCUCAGAGAUUCAGGGGAGAAAAGUAGAGAAAUUUUAAAAAAAAGCAUGCAGGGUAGGAAGAAGGGGUGAAAGACAAAAAGGAAAGCUGUGUAUCAUGGACAGAUGAUAAAACGAGAUUAACAUGAGUGUUCCUCAUUUAAGUUUUGUAUUUGAUUGCAAAUUAAAGGCUUUAGAAUCAAAAGAAUCUGCUUUUUUCAAUUCUUUGAUAGUUUUAUUAUUAGUACUGAGGAAAUCAGCCGCCUACCCAAUGGCAGGAUUCCCGACCAGCAUUCACAGAUAAUAUUUUACAAGGCAAAUCAGGCUUUCUGAGAAUAUAUUUGCAGAACAAUAAUACUUUUAUGUUUCUCUGUCAUCAUCUUUGUUAUGGAUAAAGUGGUCUCUGAUUGACUGAAACACAGAGCAGGGGCACCUGCUAAGAUCACAUUACUUGGAGGUUUGCUGAAUGCCGUUGAAGCUCAUUGACUCUCUGAAUCAGCACCUCACACAACACAUACCUCGAAUGAUCAAAAAGCAGCAGUGAUACUUCUGAGAGGAUCUAUGGAUGGCUGCCAUUUAUCUAGACAGAUGAACUAAUUUACAGGAAGAGGAGACACAGAGAUAUAAAGAUCGACACUUCUACUGUGUUGUUUGAAGCUACAGUGUGAAGUCCAAGGUCCAUACUGUCCGUGGGAUGCUCAUCUGCUAAGAAAGACAGAUGAGUGAUAAUGUGAAGAGAAAGAUUCCUGCUCAUUGUGCAUCUUAAAGAAAGAAAUUUAAGACCCAGCUGAACUCAAUGACCUGUAGCUGCAGUUUCCAGAGUGUCUUCUGAGUGCAUCUGCCUAAGGAAGCACUGCACCAACUGUCAGAAAUGACCUCUUCUAUUCUACAUGUGUGAAGAAAGUUUGAAAAUAUGAACCUUAAAGAUGAAAAAAAAAUUUUAAGAAAUACCACAUAAAAUUUCAUGAGAUCACAGGAUGCGAUCAACGGCUUCUGAGCACUCUAAACGUCGCUCCCAAAUUGACACACUGCAGCCAAAAAUGAGAGAGGGUGAGAGUGAUGAAGAAGCAUAUGACCUCUCAUUGUAGUGUCUGCUCAGGAGAGAACCAGGAAAGGUCACAAGGAGCACAGAGUGUACCUGCAGCUUCAUUAGAUCCAGCAUAAGACAUAGUAACAUACUGCAAGCAACUGAAUUAUGAUCAAGCUCGUAAUAAUAGCAGAGGCAUCUGUCCGUGAUGAGCAACAGAGCUUCAUAUUUGAUGUUGCAAAAUGCAUAGAAGACCUCAGCUUCUGCAAGUUUGGGAAUAUCCUCAGAGUUGUUGGCUGAUAACACACGCCAUGAAUAUAAGAGUGUAAUUUAUACGUAUAGAACACCUAAAUCCAGGAGUAGAAGGAAGAUAUUAGUUAUCGUAAUGUGCGAGAACUUGGACUUCAAUGCAAAAUUUAUAAAGAAGAUACAGAUGGAUCAUUUCUACUAAAUUGGAGCUGUGUAUCAUGCAAACUAGAGAUGGAUUCUGAGAGUAAAUCAAAUUUCAUCCUUUUACCUUCCAUUUUAUCGUGCUAGCAGUGAGCAGAGCAGUCCAGAAAAAGGCAGCGCUUUCGUGCACAAAGGCAGGUGGCAGGUUGAUCUCUUCAGAGUGGGUCCUGUGGUCAGUAAGGUGCUCGGCUCACCCCACCAAGGAUUAAUGUCUGUCAACAAGGUGGCUCAUUAUCAUUCUGCUGUGAAGAUGGAAGAAAUCUGCCCGUAGCAACACAGUGAUGGCAAGAUAGAGAUAAUGAUACUGGCCUCCUUCAAUCAAGUGCUUUGAUAUCUACUUGCUGAAGAUAUGCAUUAUGAGAAAGUCAUUUCACCAGCUGUGCGAGUCACCCUACAACUUUCUAGGACUUUUAUUUUUCUCAAAGUGAGCCGUAAAAUGACUUAUUAACAACUCAACUGAUCUUCUACUGUUAUAUUUUCUUCCUUCAAAAGAUCCGGCUACAUUUGACUCAAACUUUUUCUUACCACAUUUUCAAAUUAUUACAUCAUAACGCCAUUGAUUUCAGGGCAGAUCUACAGCAUUCUGCAGAAGAAAAUUAGGUUGAAAUCAUCUCUAAUUGUAAAGAUAUUUUUUCCACUACCUGACAGCCUACUCAUUAGGAAUAUUAAAAAUAAGGGAUAAAUUGUUAAACUUGGAUUAAAUGUCUUAAAUCAGUACACACUGCCUACUUUCAUCAUUGAAUGGGAUGGAAAAGUACCUAUGAGCUUUCCAAAGAUGCAAAGAAGAUAUACAAAAUAGAUACAAGGUAAAAAAGGUAUUUUUCUGUAAACAGAAUUAGAUUUUCACUGCUAAGAUGUUGAUCUUGUUCAUGCUUCUGAAGAGAUAGUAUUGUGGUUUUGUUCUAAAUAUGUAAAGACAAACCUGGAAGUGUUGUUUUCUCUCAGUAUAUACACUUCUAAAAUGUCAUGAAAAUAUGACUCUCUAACUUUUCAAAAGCUUUUGGGGGCAUAUGUGAGAGGUGUGUGUUAAAACGCAUACCCUUUCAUAGAAUUAUACUUUUUCCAUUUGUUGAAGAAACACCAGAUUCCAUGCCAAACAGGAACAUUUACAAAUGUUUUUCUUAGAUGUACACUGACUUAAAAGAUAUUUCACACUUGAGGACAUAUGCAUAUGACAUAUUUUGUGCACCAUCAGUAGCAAAUUCAUCUUAGUGAAAGUUAUUCUCUCUACUUGGAAAUCUUCACAUUUACGUAUGAAGGCUGCUUCAUAAGGUCAAAAAUACGAGGGUUUUUUUUCACGCUAACGUGAGCAAAGCAAAGGUGGAAGCUGUAAAAUAUCUGCCAGCUUGCUUGCCACCUGAUCUGCUCUGAUUUACAAGGAUGUUCAUGUUACUGUUAUUGAAUUAAUAUAUUUGCACUAGCCUGCUUUAAUUUAGAUGUGUUCCAGACCAGUUAACUGGAAGAGUGAAAUAGGUGUUUAGUGUAUAAUAGAUAUGAUUAUUAGUUUUACUUAACUUAUUAGCAGAGCUGGGUAGAAAAUUGUUUCCCUCAGCCUCUGAAGUUUUUGAGAAUUAAGAAGAACGUUCCUUUGUCACACAAGGGAAAGAUCAUAUAUUCUGCUGGGAUUUUCAUGUGUGUGUGUAUGUCUGAACAUACACGCAGUCCUUGUUAUAAAAGAACGUAGAAUUCUUGCUGCAUAACCUGCUGGUGAGGGUACACAAUGAAAAAUACAAACCCUGAGCAAAUGGGCUGAAUUUAGGUCAUUUUUAUGCCUGCAAUAUUAAGUGCUGUGGGCUGGCUUUCUCUCCAGUCUGUUCAGGAGGUCUGCACUGUACCUAAGGGUCUCUACCUGAGAAGUGCUUAGUCACAGUCAUGCUGUGAAAAGUUUCAUUUCUGUGAAUCAGUGAAUCCCAGAGAAAGCGUUUGUCUGAAAAGUUCCCAAUCAUUCCCGUUUAGUCAUUCAUUUUAGUGAUAGUUUUGAUCUUGUGUCUUCCCUCCUUUAUCCAUUCUCAGAGCAUAUUUUGCAAAGAUGAUCACCUUCAGAUAAAUCUGUUGAAAUUUUAACCACAGUGAUUCUUAAAACAUCUGGCACAACAUCUGGGCUUGGAGUCCUGAGAAUAACUAGCACCCUCCUGCCGGUCCUUCUCAUUCAUACUUAAAAACCAAAAGGGGUUAUCUAGUAGGUUUCCUGCUACCUCUGUUGGUAGCACGAGAGACUCCCCAGGAAAGGAACCCUUUUAGAGAAGGUGAGCACACAAUGCUAAAAGGUGGACAAGGCAAGCAAGUCCUGGGAUACCGGGUGCUGCUUCUGCAGCGGCUCAGUUAUCUGCCCUCAUUUGGUUUCUCUCUUGUUUUGUCUCGUUCCAGCUGCUUUUCCCUUUACCCACAAUUGCAGUCGGCUCUUGUGUUUAGAUUCAGCUGCUUUUUCGACACCGAGCUGCCUCUGAUUCUUUAAAGUGGCUUCAGGCUCCUGUUUAUC
Molecule: long non-coding RNA, 4185 nt
Organism: Columba livia (rock pigeon)
Lineage: Eukaryota; Metazoa; Chordata; Aves; Columbiformes; Columbidae
Exons: 13
Source: RefSeq, a predicted model, not a curated record